GACGAACGCUGGCGGCGUGCUUAACACAUGCAAGUCGAACGGAAAGGCCCUGCUUUUGUGGGGUGCUCGAGUGGCGAACGGGUGAGUAACACGUGAGUAACCUGCCCUUGACUUUGGGAUAACUUCAGGAAACUGGGGCUAAUACCGGAUAGGAGCUCCUGCUGCAUGGUGGGGGUUGGAAAGUUUCGGCGGUUGGGGAUGGACUCGCGGCUUAUCAGCUUGUUGGUGGGGUAGUGGCUUACCAAGGCUUUGACGGGUAGCCGGCCUGAGAGGGUGACCGGCCACCUUGGGCCUGAGAUACGGACCAGUCUCCUACGGGAGGCAGCAGUGGGGAAUAUUGCACAAUGGGCGGAAGCCUGAUGCAGCAACGCCGCGUGCGGGAUGACGGCCUUCGGGUUGUAAACCGCUUUCGCCUGUGACGAAGCGUGAGUGACGGUAAUGGGUAAAGAAGCACCGGCUAACUACGUG
Molecule: ribosomal RNA, 468 nt
Filed under: uncultured bacterium
Lineage: Bacteria
Description: partial 16S ribosomal RNA
Rfam family: Bacterial small subunit ribosomal RNA
Source: RNAcentral